Molecule: transfer RNA, 71 nt
Filed under: Cytobacillus solani
Lineage: Bacteria; Bacillati; Bacillota; Bacilli; Caryophanales; Bacillaceae
Description: Bacillus solani tRNA-Trp
Source: RNAcentral
GGAGUGCAUGUUCUAAGGUAGCGAGUUGGUCUCCAAAACCGACUGUUGCAGGUUCGAUUCCUGUCCCUCCU